GUUUGUUUUGAGACAGGGUUUUACUCUGUUGCCCAGGCUGGGGUGCAGGGGCAUGAACAUGGCUCACUGCACCCUUGACCUUCUGGGCUCAAGCGAUCCUCUUGCCUCAGGCUUCUGUUUAGCUGGGGCCACAGGCGGGCACCAAAAUGCCUGGCUAAUAUUUUUGUUUUUAUUUUGGUAGAGACGAGGUCUCACUUUGUUGCCCAUGCUGUUCUCAAACUUCUCGGCUCAAGUGAUCCUCCCACCUCGGCCUCCCAAAGUGCUGUGUUACAGGCAUAAGCCACCGCACCUGGUCUCUACUUUGUUCUUACUCUUCUUCCUGACUCUGUGAUCAGCUCUUUUUCCUCAUUGACAUCUCUUAUCACCAGCAGAGGCCUACCACUAGACACCAGGUCCGUAUUGGAAGCCUUGACUCUGGCCCAGACAUUUCUGCUGUACCUCAUGUAGGGUGAGCCCAGGACCUGCCACACUGUGCCAGCCUCGCCCAAGCCACCCUCCAGCCAGGACGCAGUCUUUCCUGACUCAGCAGGCUGAGGCACCUGAGGCUUUCAUUUUAAUUAUGAACCACUUCAAAGCCUUUCUGGAAGCAGUCUCUGCAAUAACCAACCUGGGUUCUCUCCUAAUGUGGGGAUUGUCCUGGAGCCCAGGCCUUCCAAGGCUCCUCCGCCCGCCAACAUCACCUACCUUAUCUUCCUCUUCAGCACAUCCCCAACAUUGUCUAAGCGGUAACUCACCUGAGCAAAGCACUUGACACGGAUUCAUUCAUUUACUCCUCACAACAACCUGAUGAGGUCCCAUAGCUGGAGAGUCAUCGCUGCAGCAAGCUCUUGAGUCAGACAAGCCUGAGUCUGAAUCUCACUGCUUUGUGGCCUUGGGCAAGUUCUUGACCUUUCUGAGCCUUAAUUACUUAAAGUGGAAAGUGAGAUAAUGGCAGCUAAUUCUAGAUGUUGAGUCAACUCCAUUUUGCAACCACUAUAGUAGUGAUUGAUUCUGAAAAGAAUCAUCAAUGGAAGCUAAAACUAUUGGGCAAAAAUUUGCUGGGGAAAGGACAGUCUCAAAGUAUUUUUCCACAGAGCACUGAAUAACUUCAAAGGGGAAAAACAAUAACCUUUACAAUGGAUAGAUCUGGCAGGAACCAUGUUAACCAAGUGAUCAAAGGUAGCAUCACCAAUAAUGGGGCAAACCGACAUCCUGUGCUUCCCCAUUGAUGCGCCGAGAAGGACACAGCAUUGCUCAUGCAGCAACCUUGUCAAAAAUGCGUAAACGGAAUCUAAUCAUGAGAAAACUGCCAGACAGCCAAACUCUUCAGAAAUGUCAAUAUAAUGAAAGGCAACAAAGAUUGAGAAUAACUUUACCAGGUUAAAGAAAACUAAAAAGAUAUGACAACUGACUGCAACGCAGAAUCCUGGACCAGACCCUGGAUCUGGUCAAAAGAAAAAUGCUUUAAACGACAGUAUUGGGACAAAGGGUAAAAUUUGAAUGUGGAUCAUGUAAUAGAUGAAUAAUAUAUUGUAUCAAUGAUA
Long non-coding RNA from Pan troglodytes (chimpanzee), 1523 nucleotides. RefSeq lists it as uncharacterized. The record is from RefSeq and is a predicted model, not a curated record. NCBI's taxonomy places the organism in Eukaryota, Metazoa, Chordata, Mammalia, Primates, Hominidae. The transcript is spliced from 5 exons.